This 434-nucleotide long non-coding RNA is filed under the name Heterocephalus glaber (naked mole-rat). RNAcentral describes it as "lncRNA (ENSHGLG00000050205.1)". Lineage: Eukaryota; Metazoa; Chordata; Mammalia; Rodentia; Bathyergidae. The record is from RNAcentral.
GCAGAACCCAGAAAGUACAGUGUGUCAGAAGCCAAGGAAAUGAACUCAGAGGAGGGAGGAGGGCUGCCAUAUGUCUGCUGGUUUGUUGUUUAGGAAGCCGUUAGUCUUUGUGGUAGCACUUUCCUUAAAGUUAGGGUGGAAGCAGGUACCAUGAUGUUUAAGUUAGAGGUUCCACCACCUCUCAGCGUCAUCACACUUGGGACCAAGCUUCCGACAUAUGAACCAUGGGGGAUAAACCAUAUCCAAACCAUAGCAACAGCCGUCUUAAUAAACACAGCCAGAUAAGAUAUGGUGUAUUAAUGUAGCUCUUUGGGCGGUAAUGGGAAAAGGAUGCACCUGAAGGGUUAAUGUUUGUAAUUGUGGACUUGUCAGGGGCAAGAAAUAGUUUGUUUUCUGCUCUUUAUACCUUUGGAGAAAUGGUAGGGGAGGGACAG